Molecule: ribosomal RNA, 498 nt
Filed under: uncultured bacterium
Lineage: Bacteria
Description: partial 16S ribosomal RNA
Rfam family: Bacterial small subunit ribosomal RNA
Source: RNAcentral
AUUGAACGCUGGCGGCAUGCUUUACACAUGCAAGUCGAACGGUAACAGGCCUUCGGGCGCUGACGAGUGGCGAACGGGUGAGUAAUGCAUCGGAACGUGCCCAGUCGUGGGGGAUAACUAUCCGAAAGGAUAGCUAAUACCGCAUACGAUCUGCGGAAUAAAGCGGGGGACCUUCGGGCCUCGCGCGAUUGGAGUGGCCGAUGUCAGAUUAGGUAGUUGGUGGGGUAAAGGCUCACCAAGCCAACGAUCUGUAGCUGGUCUGAGAGGACGACCAGCCACACUGGGACUGAGACACGGCCCAGACUCCUACGGGAGGCAGCAGUGGGGAAUUUUGGACAAUGGGCGCAAGCCUGAUCCAGCAAUGCCGCGUGCAGGAAGAAGGCCUUCGGGUUGUAAACUGCUUUUGUACGGAACGAAACGGCUCUGGUUAAUACCCGGGGCUAAUGACUGUACCGGUGGAGGAAGCCACGGCUAACUCUGUGCCAGCCGCCGCAGUAA